This 117-nucleotide ribosomal RNA is filed under the name Danio rerio (zebrafish). The record is from RNAcentral. Lineage: Eukaryota; Metazoa; Chordata; Actinopteri; Cypriniformes; Danionidae.
AACAAUUACUGUAUCUCCCUGCAGCCCAAGACCGGUUACUCACUGAAGCUAAGCAGGGCUGAAUCUUAUCAGUACCUGGAUGGUUGAUCACAUGGAAAAACUAGGUUGCUGUUGGAA